RNAcentral lists this ribosomal RNA (455 nucleotides) under Carex pilulifera. RNAcentral's name for it is "eukaryotic LSU rRNA". The stretch from base 314 to 455 matches the Rfam family "Eukaryotic large subunit ribosomal RNA", at positions 1 to 141 of the family's 3401-position model. Lineage: Eukaryota; Viridiplantae; Streptophyta; Magnoliopsida; Poales; Cyperaceae. The record is from RNAcentral.
UGCAGAAUCCCGUGAACCAUCGAGUCUUUGAACGCAAGUUGCGCCCAAGGGACCCUCCCGAGGGCACGCCUGCCUCACGGGCGUUAGAAGCCCAUCCACGCUCGGUUGCCUAACGGCAAAAGAUGCGGACAUUGGCCCUCCGAACCGCGAGGCGCGGUGGGCCUAAGUGUGCGGCCGUCGUACGUGGCCGGGAGCGGCGAGUGGUGGGCUACUGCGCACGUCACCCCGAGCCCCGUACCGACGCAGGGCCUUGUUUGAACCCCUAACGAGGAGCAUGCUGCUGCGGCUUCGGCUGCGCGGCGUCUUCGGACCGAUACCCCAGGUCAGGCGGGGCUACCCGCCGAGUUUAAGCAUAUAAAUAAGCGGAGGAGAAGAAACUUACAAGGAUUCCCCUAGUAACGGCGAGCGAACCGGGAGAUGCCCAGCCUUAGAAUCGCGACGGCGCCGCCGUCCGA